CCUACGGGAGGCAGCAGUGAGGAAUAUUGGUCAAUGGGCGCGAGCCUGAACCAGCCAAGUCGCGUGAGGGAGGACGGCCCUACGGGUUGUAAACCUCUUUUGCCGGGGAGCAACGGGCGUCACGUGUGGCGCCACUGAGAGUACCAGGAGAAAAAGCAUCGGCUAACUCCGUGCCAGCAGCCGCGGUAAUACGGAGGAUGCGAGCGUUAUCCGGAUUUAUUGGGUUUAAAGGGUGCGUGGGGGGAUCGUUAAGUCAGUGGUCAAAUUGGGGGGCCCAACCCCUUCCCGCCAUUGAAAUUGGCGUUCUUGGGUGAAGAGAAGUAUGCGGAAUGCGUGGUGUAGCGGUGAAAUGCAUAGAUAUCACGCAGAACCCCGAUUGCGAAGGCAGCAUGCCGGCUUCCGACUGACGCUGAAGCACGAAAGCGUGGGGAUCGAACAGGAUUAGAUACCCUUGUAGUC
This 459-nucleotide ribosomal RNA is filed under the name uncultured bacterium. Its description in RNAcentral is "partial 16S ribosomal RNA". It matches the Rfam family "Bacterial small subunit ribosomal RNA", at positions 338 to 795 of the family's 1533-position model. The record is from RNAcentral.